UGUUACAAUAGCAAAAUUAUAAUCUGUCUCUCUCUUUUUAUCAUAAGCAAGCCAUAACUCACCUCUCCCGAGUCACCAACUCACUGGCACUGCUCCCUCUUUCCUCACCUUCAUUCAUUCCAUUUUUUCUUAUAUCCAUUUCCCAUAAAUUUCGAAUUCAACAACCUGUAGAUCAAAUUGUCUCCUCCAAAUUCCAAAUCACACGAAGAAAUCUGGAAUAUUCUCGGGAUCCAAACUCGGAGUUUAUUCUUGAAGCACGCAAUUAGGAUUUUCUUUGAGCGCUCCAGAUUUAGCAUCAAGGCGUCGUUAUGGAAACAAUGUAGGAGAACGAGAUCUUCGCACUAGUAAAUUGAAUCGUGCAAAAUUCUAAUUUUCGAUGGGAAGCAACUGCGUGGGAGAGAACGCAAGUGGCGGAAACAACUUCCUCCAAUUAAUGUUGGUGGCGAUCUGGAGAACGCAGCCACCGUAGGGCAGGCUCCCGGCACAAGACGCCGCUUCCACAGUAGCAACCACCAACAACAGGGAGACUCUGUCACAGUUUCCGGUGCCAUCAAUUCCCGCUCUGAUAUCCACCACCGCGGCCGUAGAAGGCUGCAAUCAUGCGACUUGGUCUUAGAGAGAUGAAGGCAUUUUCGAAGUUGUUGUUUCCAUCUGUUAAGGACAGCACAUUUUUCGAGAGCUGUGGUGUGGCAGACCUUAUCACAACUUGCUUGGGUGGUCGAAACAGGAAAGUUGCUGAGGCUUAUGCAAAGAAUGGGGGAAGGAGGUUACAAUGAAGAUAACAUCGAAGAAGAAGAACCAUUAAACCAGCUACUACAUGGACAAUUUUCGGAUGACACUUUGGUUAAGAAAGAAAUUAGCAGCAUUUAGCAAUAUGCUUCCUAAAUGUUAUUGUCAUUCCUUCGUACCCCUUCACUAUGCUAUAUGCAUUUAAUUUUUAGUAGUUUAUAUGAGCUUUUUUCUUCUCUUUUUUUUGGGUACCUCCACUCCAUAAAAUGGUUGGGGAAAAAUUAGCCUCAUUGUUAUUUUUGUAAAACUUGUGGGAUUGAAUUUGAAUUUGUUAAAAUACAAUGUCAUUUUUAGAGAA
Molecule: long non-coding RNA, 1087 nt
Organism: Arachis duranensis
Lineage: Eukaryota; Viridiplantae; Streptophyta; Magnoliopsida; Fabales; Fabaceae
Exons: 3
Source: RefSeq, a predicted model, not a curated record